Molecule: ribosomal RNA, 278 nt
Filed under: uncultured bacterium
Lineage: Bacteria
Description: partial 16S ribosomal RNA
Rfam family: Bacterial small subunit ribosomal RNA
Source: RNAcentral
UGCCAGCAGCCGCGGUAAUACGUAGGUGGCAAGCGUUGUCCGGAAUUAUUGGGCGUAAAGCGCGCGCAGGCGGAUAGGUCAGUCUGUCUUAAAAGUUCGGGGCUUAACCCCGUGAUGGGAUGGAAACUGCCAAUCUAGAGUAUCGGAGAGGAAAGUGGAAUUCCUAGUGUAGCGGUGAAAUGCGUAGAUAUUAGGAAGAACACCAGUGGCGAAGGCGACUUUCUGGACGAAAACUGACGCUGAGGCGCGAAAGCCAGGGGAGCGAACGGGAUUAGAUA